AUUGAACGCUGGCGGCAUGCUUUACACAUGCAAGUCGAACGGGGUGGGGGGCAACUCCCACUCAGUGGCGAACGGGUGAGUAAUGCAUCGGAACGUAUCCCGUAGUGGGGGACAACGCCGCGAAAGCGGCGCUAAUACCGCAUAUGCUCUACGGAGGAAAGUGGGGGACCUGAAAGGGCCUCACGCUAUGGGAGUGGCCGAUAUCGGAUUAGCUAGUUGGUGAGGUAAAGGCUCACCAAGGCGACGAUCCGUAGCUGGUCUGAGAGGACGACCAGCCACACUGGGACUGAGACACGGCCCAGACUCCUACGGGAGGCAG
This 319-nucleotide ribosomal RNA is filed under the name uncultured Pseudomonadota bacterium. RNAcentral's name for it is "bacterial SSU rRNA". It matches the Rfam family "Bacterial small subunit ribosomal RNA", at positions 30 to 351 of the family's 1533-position model. Lineage: Bacteria; Pseudomonadati; Pseudomonadota. The record is from RNAcentral.